CUAGUUGCCAUCAGGUCAAGCUGGGCGACUCUAAGUGGACAGCCGGCGUAAGCCGGAGGAAGGUGGGGAUGACGUCAAGUCAUCAUGGCCUUUAUGUCCAGGGCUACACACGUGCUACAAUGGCGCAUACAGAGGGCAGCGAAGCCGUGAGGUGGAGCGAAUCUUGUCAAAGUGCGCCUCAAUUCGGAUUGCAGUCUGCAACUCGACUGCAUGAAGUUGGAACCGCUAGUAAUCGCGGAUCAGCAAAGCCGCGGUGAAUACGUUCCCGGGCCUU
Molecule: ribosomal RNA, 274 nt
Filed under: uncultured Pseudomonadota bacterium
Lineage: Bacteria; Pseudomonadati; Pseudomonadota
Description: uncultured proteobacterium partial 16S ribosomal RNA
Rfam family: Bacterial small subunit ribosomal RNA
Source: RNAcentral